RNAcentral lists this ribosomal RNA (253 nucleotides) under uncultured bacterium. Its description in RNAcentral is "partial 16S ribosomal RNA". It matches the Rfam family "Bacterial small subunit ribosomal RNA", at positions 524 to 776 of the family's 1533-position model. The record is from RNAcentral.
UACGUAUGGUGCAAGCGUUAUCCGGAUUUACUGGGUGUAAAGGGAGCGCAGGCGGCACGGCAAGCCUGAUGUGAAAGCCCGCGGCCCAACCGCGGGACUGCAUUGGGAACUACCGGGCUGGAGUGCCGGAGAGGUAGGCGGAAUUCCUAGUGUAGCGGUGAAAUGCGUAGAUAUUAGGAGGAACACCAGUGGCGAAGGCGGCUUACUGGACGGUGACUGACGCUGAGGCUCGAAAGCGUGGGGAGCAAACAGG